GUUGACAGAGAGGAGAUAGAAUGAAGAGAGAGAGAGAGAGAGUAGGGAAGGACAGAGAGGAGAUAUAAUGAAGAGAGAGAGAGAGAGAGAGAGAGAGGGAGUAGGGGCUGACAGAGAGGAGAUAGAAUGAAGAGAGAGAGGGAAGGAGUAGGGGCUGACAGAGAGGAGAUAGAAUGAAGAGAGAGGGGGAAGUAAGGGGCUGACAGAGAGGAGAUAGAAUGAAGAGAGAGAGAGGGAGUAGGGGCUGACAGAGAGGAGAUAGAAUGAAGAGAGAGAGGGAGUAGGGGCAGACAGAGAGGAGAUAGAAUGAAGAGAGCGAGAGAGGGAGUAGGGGCUGACAGAGAGGAGAUAGAAUGAAGAGAGAGAGAGGGAGUAGGGCUGACAGAGAGGAGAUAGAAUGAAGAGAGAGAGAGGGAGUAGGGGUUGACAGAGAGGAGAUAGAAUGAAGAGAGAGAGGGGGAGUAGGGACUGACAGAGAGGAGAUAGAAUGAAGAGAGAGAGAGGGAGUAGGGGUUGACAGAGAGGAGAUAGAAUGAAGAGAGAGAGAGAGUAGGGGCUGACAGAGAGGAGAUAGAAUGAAGAGAGAGAGAGAGAGAGAGGGAGUAGGGGCUGACAGACAGGAGAUAGAAUGAAGAGAGAGAGAGGGAGUAGGGGCUGACAGAGAGGAGAUAGAAUGAAGAGAGAGAGAGAGAGUAGGGGCUGACAGAGAGGAGAUAGAAUGAAGAGAGAGAGAGGGAGUAGGGGCUGACAGAGAGGAGAUAGAAUGAAGAGAGAGAGAGAGGGAGUAGGGGCUGACAGAGAGGAGAUAGAAUGAAGAGAGAGAGAGGGAGUAGGGGUUGACAGAGAGGAGAUAGAAUGAAGAGAGAGAGGGGGAGUAGGGACUGACAGAGAGGAGAUAGAAUGAAGAGAGAGAGAGGGAGUAGGGGUUGACAGAGAGGAGAUAGAAUGAAGAGAGAGAGAGAGAGUAGGGGCUGACAGAGAGGAGAUAGAAUGAAGAGAGAGAGAGAGAGAGAGGGAGUAGGGGCUGACAGACAGGAGAUAGAAUGAAGAGAGAGAGAGGGAGUAGGGGCUGACAGAGAGGAGAUAGAAUGAAGAGAGAGAGAGAGAGUAGGGGCUGACAGAGAGGAGAUAGAAUGAAGAGAGAGAGAGGGAGUAGGGGCUGACAGAGAGGAGAUAGAAUGAAGAGAGAGAGAGAGACAGAGAGAGGGAGUAGGGGCUGACAGAGAGGAGAUAGAGAGUAGCCAGGGUUAAAAUCUGCUGAGCUGGGACACUAGGGAUGGAGGGAAUGAGGGAGAGAGAGAAAUGGAAUUGAAUUGAG
Molecule: long non-coding RNA, 1318 nt
Filed under: Salmo salar (Atlantic salmon)
Lineage: Eukaryota; Metazoa; Chordata; Actinopteri; Salmoniformes; Salmonidae
Description: lncRNA (ENSSSAG00000117464.1)
Source: RNAcentral